CUGCGAGCGGCGGGUUAUAGCGGCACCCCGGGGACGCGUCAGUGGGCGGGACCGCGGCCGCCCGGGCGCCUUCUCUUUGUACCUGCUUUCACUCUUCAAAACUAGCCGGAGGUCGGCGAGCAGCUCCUUUUCGGGAUGUGCUUUUUGUACGGCCAUGGAAACUGGACUAGCGGAAAGGCUACCUUUUGGCCAGCAAGCCAGGCCCCUUAGAAAGAGGCCCCAGUGGGGAGCCCGGCGCUCCUAAGGCCGUUUGGGAGUCCCCAGUUUUCCACUCGCUGACACGUUGCUUCUCUUAUCCCACCACCGCCGCCCCGGGCAAAGGCACUGCCUUGUCUGAAUGCGGGUCUGAGGCGCUUUCUGCGGAGCCUGGUCCUUUCCCUUCAAUGGUGAUGUGUGUGGUCUUGCUGAGCCAGGCAACUAGGGGGACCCUUCGCUGUGGAAAAAUUGGUGCUGCGGGAAAGGCAAGACUCACUCCCUUGCAGGAAACAAAGACCCCUUAGGAGAGAGAAAUGUUCAUGGAAUGAAUGAAUAAACAAGUUUGACCUA
Molecule: long non-coding RNA, 546 nt
Organism: Homo sapiens (human)
Lineage: Eukaryota; Metazoa; Chordata; Mammalia; Primates; Hominidae
Gene: SLC38A2-AS1
Product: SLC38A2 antisense RNA 1
Exons: 2
Source: RefSeq, marked validated